This 466-nucleotide ribosomal RNA is filed under the name uncultured bacterium. RNAcentral describes it as "partial 16S ribosomal RNA". It matches the Rfam family "Bacterial small subunit ribosomal RNA", at positions 28 to 507 of the family's 1533-position model. The record is from RNAcentral.
GACGAACGCUGGCGGCGUGCUUAACACAUGCAAGUCGAACGGAAAGGCCCAGCUUGCUGGGUACUCGAGUGGCGAACGGGUGAGUAACACGUGGGUGAUCUGCCCUUCACUCUGGGAUAAGCCUGGGAAACUGGGUCUAAUACCGGAUAUGACCAACUGUCGCAUGGUGGUUGGUGGAAAGCUUUGGCGGUGUGGGAUGGGCCCGCGGCCUAUCAGCUUUUUGGUGGGGUAAUGGCCUACCAAGGCGACGACGGGUAGCCGACCUGAGAGGGGGAUCGGCCACACUGGGACUGAGACACGGCGCAGACUCCUACGGGAGGCAGCAGUGGGGAAUAUUGCACAAUGGGCGCAAGCCUGAUGCAGCGACGCCGCGUGAGGGAUGACGGCCUUCGGGUUGUAAACCUCUUUCACCAGGGACGAAGCGUGAGUGACGGUACCUGGAGAAGAAGCACCGGCCAACUACGUG